This 220-nucleotide long non-coding RNA is filed under the name Elaeis guineensis (African oil palm). RNAcentral's name for it is "long non-coding RNA (EGUI_LNC003055)". Lineage: Eukaryota; Viridiplantae; Streptophyta; Magnoliopsida; Arecales; Arecaceae. The record is from RNAcentral.
UCAACUACAAAUCAGGAGCCAUGUUAGUAUGCAAAUAAUAUUAUAGAAGUUUUUGUUGGGGAAAUCUAGCAAUAUGUGGUUUAGCUAGGGUGGUGAUUGGCAUGCUGUUUGUAUAAAGAGACUAUAUAGAGAGAGAAAUUAGAAAGAGAAUGUGGAGAUAUAUUAGAGAGUGAAAGUAGAGAGAAGAGAGAGAUAGUGGAGAGAAAUUAUCUAUAGAAAA